UCGAGUGGCGAACGGGUGAGUAACACGUGGGUGAUCUGCCCUGCACUUUGGGAUAAGCCUGGGAAACUGGGUCUAAUACCGAAUAUGACCGCGCUCUUCAUGGGGUGUGGUGGAAAGCUUUUGCGGUGUGGGAUGGGCCCGCGGCCUAUCAGCUUGUUGGUGGGGUAAUGGCCUACCAAGGCGACGACGGGUAGCCGGCCUGAGAGGGUGACCGGCCACACUGGGACUGAGAUACGGCCCAGACUCCUACGGGAGGCAGCAGUGGGGAAUAUUGCACAAUGGGCGCAAGCCUGAUGCAGCGACGCCGCGUGAGGGAUGACGGCCUUCGGGUUGUAAACCUCUUUCAAUAGGGACGAAGCGCAAGUGACGGUACCUAUAGAAGAAGCACCGGCCAACUACGUGCCAGCAGCCGCGGUAAUACGUAGGGUGCGAGCGUUGUCCGGAAUUACUGGGCGUAAAGAGCUCGUAGGUGGUUUGUCGCGUUGUUCGUGAAAACUCACAACUCAAUUGUGGGCGUGCGGGCGAUACGGGCAGACUAGAGUACUGCAGGGGAGACUGGAAUUCCUGGUGUAGCGGUGGAAUGCGCAGAUAUCAGGAGGAACACCGGUGGCGAA
Molecule: ribosomal RNA, 614 nt
Filed under: Mycolicibacterium porcinum
Lineage: Bacteria; Bacillati; Actinomycetota; Actinomycetes; Mycobacteriales; Mycobacteriaceae
Description: bacterial SSU rRNA
Rfam family: Bacterial small subunit ribosomal RNA
Source: RNAcentral